Molecule: ribosomal RNA, 254 nt
Filed under: uncultured bacterium
Lineage: Bacteria
Description: partial 16S ribosomal RNA
Rfam family: Bacterial small subunit ribosomal RNA
Source: RNAcentral
GACGUAGGGCGCGAGCGUUGUCCGGAUUUAUUGGGCGUAAAGAGCUCGUAGGCGGCUUGUUACGUCGACUGUGAAAACCCGCGGCUCAACUGCGGGCCUGCAGUCGAUACGGGCAGGCUAGAGUUCGGUAGGGGAGACGUGGAAUUCCUGGUGUAGCGGUGAAAUGCGCAGAUAUCAGGAGGAACACCGGUGGCGAAGGCGGGUCUCUGGGCAUUACCUGACGCUGAGGAGCGAAAGUGUGGGGAGCGAACAGG